GAUGAAGAACGUAGCGAAACGCGAUAAGUAAUGUGAAUUGCAGAAUUCAGUGAAUCAUCGAAUCUUUGAACGCACAUUGCGCCCCCCAGUAUUCUGGCGGGCAUGCCUGUUCGAGCGUCAUUUCAACCAUCAAGCCCUGCUUGUGUUGGGGUCCUGCGGCUGCCCGCAGGCCCUGAAAACCAGUGGCGGGCUCGCUAGUCACACCGAGCGCAGUAGCACAUCUCGCUCAGGGCGUGCGGCGGGCUCCAGCCGUUAAAGCACCCACCUUUCGCAAGGUUGACCUCGGAUCAGGUAGGAAUACCCGCUGAACUUAAGCAUAUCAAUAAGCGGAGGA
Molecule: unclassified non-coding RNA, 334 nt
Filed under: soil metagenome
Description: partial contains 5.8S ribosomal RNA, internal transcribed spacer 2, and large subunit ribosomal RNA
Rfam family: 5.8S ribosomal RNA (bases 1-120)
Source: RNAcentral